This 510-nucleotide ribosomal RNA is filed under the name uncultured bacterium. RNAcentral describes it as "partial 16S ribosomal RNA". It matches the Rfam family "Bacterial small subunit ribosomal RNA", at positions 28 to 507 of the family's 1533-position model. The record is from RNAcentral.
GACGAACGCUGGCGGCGUGCUUAACACAUGCAAGUCGAACGAAGAGCGAUGGAAGCUUGCUUCUAUCAAUCUUAGUGGCGAACGGGUGAGUAACGCGUAAUCAACCUGCCCUUCAGAGGGGGACAACAGUUGGAAACGACUGCUAAUACCGCAUACGAUCUAAUCUCGGCAUCGAGGAUAGAUGAAAGGUGGCCUCUACAUGUAAGCUAUCACUGAAGGAGGGGAUUGCGUCUGAUUAGCUAGUUGGAGGGGUAACGGCCCACCAAGGCGAUGGUCAGUAGCCGGUCUGAGAGGAUGAACGGCCACAUUGGGACUGAGACACGGCCCAGACUCCUACGGGAGGCAGCAGUGGGGAAUCUUCCGCAAUGGACGAAAGUCUGACGGAGCAACGCCGCGGGAGCGAUGACGGCCUUCGGGUUGUAAAGCUCUGUUAAUCGGGACGAAAGGCCUUCUUGCGAAUAGUGAGAAGGAUUGACGGUACCGGAAUAGAAAGCCACGGCUAACUACGUG